AUGUAUAUAUAUUACAUUUGGUUUUAUUAUGGUUAUGAAAACAUAGUUAAUAAUAGGAGAGUUAGUGCUUAGAAGAACAGAGAGGCAAGCAAUGUGGGAGAGGGCCUAUGGUGAUGGUGGUGGACCCACGUGCUGCUCACCCACCACAACCCACGAGCCAUUUCUCUCCUUGGGGCGGCUCCUUCUGCAACUAAUGCUUUCGGCAAAGUGGACAUGGAUGGACGCAUUUGAGAGCUGAGACUCUUUAGUAUGGUACUUUAUUCACAUAACGAUAAAAAUAAUGAAAAAAAUUAUUAUAGCGUUACAGUGUUUGGUAUUAUUAAGUAGUAAGUAGGUGAUGUAAUUUGAAUUGGAUACGUACGUAUGUUUGUUGAUUUGAUUUGAAAGAUUGGAUAAUAUCUACCCUAGACACAAAAUUAUAAAAAAGAGUGAUUAAGAUGGCAGUGUCUUGUUUGUGUA
Long non-coding RNA from Cannabis sativa, 459 nucleotides. RefSeq lists it as uncharacterized. The record is from RefSeq and is a predicted model, not a curated record. NCBI's taxonomy places the organism in Eukaryota, Viridiplantae, Streptophyta, Magnoliopsida, Rosales, Cannabaceae. The transcript is spliced from 2 exons.